AGAGUUUGAUCCUGGCUCAGAACGAACGCUGGCGGUAUGCUUAACACAUGCAAGUCGAACGGAUUUACUUAAGCUUGCUUUUGUAAAUUAGUGGCAAACGGGUGAGUAAUAUAGAGGAAUCUACCUAGCAGUAAGGGAUAACCCUGGGAAACCAGAGCUAAUACCAUAUAUCACCGAUUUAUCGGGAAAGAUUUAUCGCUGUUAGAUGAGCCUCUAUCAGAUUAGCUUGUUGGUAGGGUAAUGGCCUACCAAGGCGAUGAUCUGUAGCUGGUCUGAGAGGAUGAUCAGCCACACUGGGACUGAGACACGGCCCAGACUCCUACGGGAGGCAGCAGUGGGGAAUAUUGGACAAUGGGCGAAAGCCUGAUCCAGCAAUACCGCGUGAAUGAUGAAGGCCUUCGGGUUGUAAAGUUCUUUUAGUAGGGAAGAUAAUGACGGUACCUACAGAAAAAGCACCGGCUAACUUCGUGCCAGCAGCCGCGGUAAUACGAAGGGUGCUAGCGUUGUUCGGAAUUAUUGGGCGUAAAGCGUGCGUAGGCGGUUUGGUAAGUCGGUUGUGAAAGCCCAGAGCUUAACUCUGGAACUGCAAUCGAAACUGCUUGACUAGAGUAUGGUAGGGGAUAGUAGAAUUCCUAGUGUAGGGGUGAAAUCCGUAGAUAUUAGGAGGAAUACCAGUGGCGAAGGCGACUAUCUAGGCCAUUACUGACGCUGAGGUACGAAAGCGUGGGGAGCAAACAGGAUUAGAUACCCUGGUAGUCCACGCAGUAAACGAUGAGUGCUAGCUGUCGGAGUUUUGGGCUUCGGUGGCGAAGCUAACGCGUUAAGCACUCCGCCUGGGGACUACGGCCGCAAGGCUAAAACUCAAAGGAAUUGACGGGGACCCGCACAAGCAGUGGAGCAUGUGGUUUAAUUCGAUGUUACGCGAGGAACCUUACCAGCUCUUGUAUCUUGAUUAACGUUUUCAGAGAUGAAUUCUUCGGUUCGGCCGGAUCAAUGACAGGUGUUGCAUGGCUGUCGUCAGCUCGUGUCGUGAGAUGUUAGGUUAAGUCCUUUAACGAGCGCAACCCUCAUCCUUAUUUGCCAUCGGGUUAUGCCGGGAACUAUAAGGAAACCGCUAGCGACAAGCUAGAGGAAGGUGGGGAUGAUGUCAAGUCAUCAUGGCCCUUAUGGGCUGGGCUACACACAUGCUACAAUGGUGAUUACAACGGGAUGCAAUGGAGUAAUCCGGAGCUAAUCCUGAAAAACCAUCUCAGUUCGAAUUGGGGGCUGCAACUCGCCCCCAUGAAGUUGGAAUUGCUAGUAAUCGCGAAUCAGAACGUCGCGGUGAAUACGUUCUCGGGUCUUGUACACACUGCCCGUCAAGCCAUGGAAGUUGUUUCUACCCGAAUAUGGUGGGCUAACCUGCUUGCAGGAGGUAGCCAUACACGGUAGGAAUAGUGACUGGGGUUAAGUCGUAACAAGGUA
This 1464-nucleotide ribosomal RNA is filed under the name metagenome. Its description in RNAcentral is "bacterial SSU rRNA". It matches the Rfam family "Bacterial small subunit ribosomal RNA". The record is from RNAcentral.